CUUUACCGACUGAGCUGCAAGGGAAGCCCAUACAUGUUCAAUAUGCUUUCCUGAGUUUCUGCUGUGAAGCAGACCAAGCGGGCAUCUCCCAUCUUCUUCACAGUCCACAUGGCUCACUGGGGCCAUAAGGCCGUUUUAGCAGACAGGUCGGGGGACCCAGGCCCCUCUUACUCUCUGGGCCUCAUCGGACUUCUGGAUCAUCGGAGGAGACACUGGGAUGGAGCAAGCGACCAGGCAGGCCUCUGCUAAGGAGAGAGCAGGCCCCCCAGGCGACGCUAACGAGGGAGAGGAAGCAGACCGGUCUCCAGCCAAGUUCGGUCACCAGGCCAUAUGCUCACCUGGCCCCAUAGACUCGCUGCCCAGGAUCCGAUGAGCCAGGAGGGUGUGAGCACGUGGGGCAGCCAAAUAGGACCAAAUGUCAGCUGAGGCCAGAGGGAGACAACAGUCCUCCGACACCCCUGGGAGCACCCGAUGACUCUGAGCUCCCUUCAGUGGAGGCCGUACUUGCGAAGGAACAAGUGUUUGACAGCUUCUCUGCUCUUCCCGGUUCCCUUGAACUCCUCAGAGGGACUUAAAGGGAUUGUGGAGCGCCCCCCCCCACCCCCGGGGUUUUCUUCUUUUUUUCACUUUGUUAAUUGUUCUUUAAUGUUUUCAUAGUUUUGAUAUAUGGUUUAAACCUUUAACUUUCAUUUUUAAAGUGAAGUACACUGUUUGUACAAAAGAACAUGUAAAUAACAUACAUAUGCUGUUUGAAUGAUGGUAACGAUAAUAAAAGAGUCACCCUGUACUCACUCACAUCCCAGUUUAAGAAGAGUUCAUUUCCAAAGCUUUCAAAGCUUGUUGAGUUCCCAUCACAUCACGCUGGGCUAGACUGAAGGCAAAAGGAGAAGGGGGCGGCAGAG
This is a long non-coding RNA of Bubalus bubalis (water buffalo), 902 nucleotides long. RefSeq lists it as uncharacterized. The record is from RefSeq and is a predicted model, not a curated record. NCBI's taxonomy places the organism in Eukaryota, Metazoa, Chordata, Mammalia, Artiodactyla, Bovidae. The transcript is spliced from 3 exons.